This 253-nucleotide ribosomal RNA is filed under the name uncultured bacterium. Its description in RNAcentral is "partial 16S ribosomal RNA". It matches the Rfam family "Bacterial small subunit ribosomal RNA", at positions 524 to 776 of the family's 1533-position model. The record is from RNAcentral.
UACAGAGGUCUCGAGCGUUGUUCGGAUUCAUUGGGCGUAAAGGGUGCGUAGGUGGCGCCGUAAGUGGGGUGUGAAAUUUCGGAGCUUAACUCCGAAACUGCAUUCCAUACUGCGGUGCUUGAGGACUGGAGAGGAGACUGGAAUUUACGGUGUAGCGGUGAAAUGCGUAGAUAUCGUAAGGAAGACCAGUGGCGAAGGCGGGUCUCUGGACAGUUCCUGACGCUGAGGCACGAAGGCCAGGGGAGCAAACGGG